Non-coding RNA from Punica granatum (pomegranate), 107 nucleotides. NCBI's taxonomy places the organism in Eukaryota, Viridiplantae, Streptophyta, Magnoliopsida, Myrtales, Lythraceae. The record is from Rfam.
UUCAUGUGGUUGGUAUGGAGUCUGACAAACUCAUAAAACCUGUGUUGUCAUCACCUCCUUCUCUUUCAUUUUCCAUGGAGACGGGGUUAAACAACGGCACCAUAUUC